RNA transcript from Photinus pyralis (common eastern firefly), 3601 nucleotides. RefSeq lists it as uncharacterized. NCBI's taxonomy places the organism in Eukaryota, Metazoa, Arthropoda, Insecta, Coleoptera, Lampyridae. The record is from RefSeq and is a predicted model, not a curated record. The transcript has 3 exons.
UGUGAAUACUAUUGUUCCCAUGGAAGUUCUUAGUCCUCAUCAGAUGCAAAACUAUUUGAACGCUAUAGUGUGUCACAUUUGCGAGAAACCUUUUACCGAAGAUCAAAUUAAAGUACGCGAUCACCAUCAUAUGACGGGGCGGUACAGAGGGGCGGCUCACCAGGCAUGUAAUUUGAACUUUAACCACUCCCAUGUUAUACCAGUCGUUUUCCAUAACUUAAGCGGAUACGAUGCCCAUUUUUUUAUUCGAGAACUCGCUAUCGGCUUUCCUGGCGGAAUUAAACUCUUACCUUUAAACAAAGAAAAAUAUAUUUCUUUCACGAAGCAUGUGCAGAACACUAACAUAGAUUUUCGAUUUAUCGAUUCCUUUAGAUUUAUGAGCAGUAGUAUAGAUAAGCUAUCUUCGUAUUUAGAUAAUGAGCAGAAAACUAUUACUAGAGCGCAUUGUCGUAAUGCAAAUGAAUUCCAUUUGUUAACUCGAAAGGGAGUGUUUCCAUAUGAUUACGUUGAUUCGUGGGAGAAAUUAAAUGAGACAGUGUUACCAACUCGAGAUGCAUUUUUUAGUCAAUUAAAAAAUGAAGCUGUGAGCGAAGCGGACUAUGAACAUGCGAAUCACAUUUGGAACGCGUUCGAAAUUAAAACCUUAGGUCAAUAUUCUGAUCUCUAUUUGAUGACGGACGUUCUCCUUUUGGCGGAUAUCUUUGAAAAUUUUAGGGAGACUUGUUUGCGUACCUAUCGCUUAGAUCCGUUACAUUAUUACACCGCCCCGGGUUUGGCAUUUGACGCAAUGCUUAAAGUCACCGACGUUAAAUUAGAACUUUUAAGUGACAUUGAUCAAAUGAUGUUUAUUGAAAGUGGUAUAAGAGGAGGUGUAGCACAAUGUUCAAUGAGAUACGCGAAGGCCAAUAACCCGUACAUGAAAGAAAAAUAUAAUCCUAACCUGGAGACGACCUAUUUAAUGUAUUAUGAUAUUAAUAACCUUUAUGGUGCCUCAAUGUGUGAAUUCUUGCCUUGCAGCGAUUUUUCCUUUGUAGAUGACAUUCAAAAUUUAGAUAUUCUAAACCAUCCUGAUGAUUCAGACGUUGGUUAUAUUGUAGACUGUGAUUUAGAGUAUCCUUUGGAAUGCCACAGAUUACAUUCUGAUUUACCUUUGGCCCCAGAGCAUCUAGUGCCAAAUAACUCAAAAUUAAAGAAACUAAUGCUUACCUUGUACCCAAAGCACAACUACGUAGUUCAUUAUAGAAAUUUAAAGAUGUACGUACAACAUGGGUUAAAGUUGAUAAAAAUAAAUAGAGUAUUACAGUUUAAGCAAUCACCGUGGCUGAAAAAGUAUAUUGAAUUAAACACUCGCAUGAGGCAACAAGCGAAAAAUAUGUUUGAAAUAGAAUUUUACAAAUUAAUGAUUAAUUGCGUCUAUGGUAAACUUAUGGAGAACGUGCGAAAAUACAAAGAUGUGAAACUAUUAACCAAAUGGGAGGGAAGGUAUGAAGCCCGUGCGUAUAUAGCGAAGCCAAACUUUAGCAGUUGUACGAUUUUUGAUAAGGAUAUGGUUAUAAUAGAGAUGGAUAGGUUAGAGAUAUUUUUCAAUAAACCAAUAUACGCGGGAUUUGCCGUUUUAGAUAUAUCAAAAACGUUUCUCUAUGACUUUCAUUAUAACUACAUUCUCAAAAAGUUUAAAGAUAAAACAAAACUUCUGUAUACAGAUACCGAUAGCCUAAUAUACUAUUUUACAGUUCCCAAUAUAUACGAGAAUAUAAAAGAUGAUAUACAUCGAUUUGAUACCUCAAAUUAUGAUAUCAAUAAUGAAUAUGGGAUUCCAUUAAGGCCGUCUGACACUAUGCUAAAUUUUGUAUAAAAUUUUGCACUAGAAAAUUUUGUAAAAAAUUUUGUACAAAAUUUAGAAAAAAAAAUGAAAUGUGUCUGACACUAUUUAAAAAUUAUGGUAAAAUAAAAUUAUUCACGCUUGCUCAGUCUCAGUUACAACAUGGGGAAUUUUGAUUUUGGUUGUUACCUCAUUGGUUUUCACUAAAAGCAGCUGUUGGUGCGACAUAACCUAUACGCUUUGUUAUUAUAUGUACUUAUUUAGUCGAAUCGAUUACAUUUCAUAUCACUGACUUUAGCUAUGCCUAAUACAAACAUAUCAUUAAUGCACGCGGCGCUUGCCGCCACGGCAAUUAUUCUUUUGCGAAAAAUGCUGUUACGCUUAAAACAAAAACGCAAUCGACGAAGAUUGUGGUCGAGAACGUGGUUACAACGGCGAAAUGAGGGUAGAGGCGUUUUAAAUAUGUUAAACCAAGAGCUUCUGCAGGAGGACCCCGUAUCUUACCAAAAUUACCUUCGCUUAAACAAUAAACAGCUGGGAUAUUUGCUAGCAUUAGUGAAAGAUGACAUAACCAAACAAGAUACCCACUUACGAGAGUGUAUCCCCGCUAGAAGCAAAUUACAAGUUACUCUAAGAUUUUUGGCAACCGGAGAGACGUUUCGAUCCCUUAUGUACGCAACAAGGAUUCACGAAACUACAAUUAGUCGUUUCAUACCCGAGGUGUGCAACGCAAUCGUGUUAAAAUUGAAACCAAAUUAUUUGAAGACACCAAACACGCCAGAAGAGUGGAAUAAAAUUGCGGAUGAUUUUAAUAAUUUAUGGCAGUUUCCACACUGCAUUGGAGCACUCGAUGGACGCCAUAUAACAUUCAGAGCCCCAAUCUCGGCAGGAUCGUACUAUUACAACUAUAAAGGUUCUAAUAGUAUUGUGCUGCUGGGUUUGGCAGAUGCAAAUUAUAAAUUUAUUUACAUAAAUAUUGGUGUUAACGGACGCAUUAGCGAUGGCGGGGUGUUUAACAACAGUAAGUUGUCAAAGGCACUGCAAGACAACACACUUAAUUUGCCACAGCCCAAACUGCUGCCAGGAAUGGAACAUCCAAUGCCCUAUGUCAUUGUCGCCGAUGAUGCAUUUCCAUUAGCAACAAACCUAAUGAAGCCCUAUCCUGAACGAGGACUUACCAAAGAAUGCAGGAUAUUUAAUUAUCGUCUAUCACGUGCAAGACGCAUAAUUGAAAAUGCAUUUGGCAUUUUAGUGAAUAGAUUUAGGGUACUUUUAAAUCCAAUUAAUUUAAUUCCAGAAAAAGUAGAAUUAAUUACAUUGACUUGUGUCUUAUUACAUAAUUUUCUUGCCACUGAAAACUCACAAUCCUAUAUAGAGAUUGACGAGGACAUCAAAGACCUGCAAAAAGUAACACGACAGUGUGGUAAUCGAACGUCGAAUAAUGCGAGAGAAAUUCGUGAUCGAUUUAAAACUUUUUUCAAUUCUUUAGAAGGGUCUGUAGAUUGGCAGGAAGAGGCAAUAAAUAAUUUUAAUAUGUAUACAAUGUAUUUUAUAUUCUUACCCUGGCCUAUUAUUUACAUUCUACUUUUUUUUAUACUGCGAUACAGGCAUUCAACAAUUUCCUGUUCCACUUCGAGACGUAUGUCUUCGUUCGUAAUUUGAUUUAAGGUCGAUUCUCACUUUCGUGCAAGGCACGUACUCGGCACAGGCAAGGCACCGACUCGGCAAAAUAUCUAUAUUAUUGAAUCUUAUGAAUUUUUUGGGGUGUAAUUCACACUA